Molecule: ribosomal RNA, 373 nt
Filed under: uncultured organism
Description: bacterial SSU rRNA
Rfam family: Bacterial small subunit ribosomal RNA
Source: RNAcentral
CAGAGGGUGCAAGCGUUGUUCGGAAUUACUGGGCGUAAAGCGCGCGCAGGCGGGUCCUGCAAGUCAGAAGUGAAAUCUCAUUGCUCAACGAUGAGGCCGCUUUUGAUACUGCGGAUCUGGAGACCGGUAGAGGCUGGUAGAAUUGCAGGUGUAGCGGUGGAAUGCGUAGAGAUCUGCAAGAAUACCCGUGGCGAAGGCGGCCAGCUGGGCCGGUUCUGACGCUGAGGCGCGAAAGCGUGGGGAGCAAACAGGAUUAGAUACCCUGGUAGUCCACGCCGUAAACGAUGGGCACUAGGUGCUGGGGGGGAGCGACCCCGUCAGUGCCGUAGCUAACGCGAUAAGUGCCCCGCCUGGGGAGUACGGCCGCAAGGCU